Long non-coding RNA from Balaenoptera ricei (Rice's whale), 1211 nucleotides. RefSeq lists it as uncharacterized. The record is from RefSeq and is a predicted model, not a curated record. Lineage: Eukaryota; Metazoa; Chordata; Mammalia; Artiodactyla; Balaenopteridae. The transcript is spliced from 2 exons.
UCGCGGCGCAGGAAGUGGGCUCUCGGCUCCGCUUCAUUCUUUUCCCCUGAGCCAGGCGUCUUCGCGCCUUUAUCAAAGUUAUUUUUACGCGUUGAGAAAUUUUCAAGUGAGCACUUGUGCGGUGGCACCUUCUCCUUGUCGCGGUUGGGCCUUGAAGAAAUUCCCCGGCUUAUUUAUAGCCCGUGUUUAUUUUUACUCAAGUCCUGAACUUGAGCCUCUAGAAGUAGUCUGAGCGGCGGCAGAUCGGGAGGGAAUCCUGGCUUUGCGACCACGGAUCCAGUAACUGGGUCUGUUCUGUGACCUGGGGGAGCCCCCGCGGGGCCGAGAAGAGGGACAGACCCAAGUUCAGUGCCGGGCUAGGGGCGCUGCCGGAGACCCCGUGCAGGCAAAGAGCGACCUUGGCCAUCCAGCCCCUCCCGCAGUGCCCUUUAAUCUCAACCCCCCACUCCAGGUGCAAAAUCAGACCGCCCUCGUCCUCCCUUACUGGUUGUUCCCUUCUGAGAUCGGAUCAGUGGCAUCAGACUUUUGAGGAAAGUGAUGACUUAGGUUUCUCUUGACCCUGAAGCUCAGACUUACACAUCCUCUUAGUCUCUUGGGAGCUCCAUGCGGUGACGUGGAGCCCUUCACAGAAACAGGAGAUGGGAAGAGUACGUUUAAUGUGAUUUCAAAAACAUUGGGCUUUUGGAAGGAAACAUUCUAAAUAAGCAUUGCUCUUCAUGGUCCUAGACAUGAACAGAUGCCGGUCUCAGCAUCCGUUAAAAUUCAUCAACAACAGGACUGCAGAAGGUGGCCGGAUCUGGAGUUGAUGCUUUCUGUCCAGAACAGACAGGACUGGCUGUGCAGAGGUGUCAUGGGAUGAAGGCACCUGAAGGUCCCCUCUAUUCACAGGGGUUCUAAAACCGAGCUUCUCAGGAAACCUAGAAAUAAGAUAUUUUUUCCUCCUAAAUGAUUUUUAAUAAUGGCAGUCACAUCAACCAUAAUUUAUUUCAACCUCACUAGUUGCAAGUAUGUAAUAAUUUACCUACCUGUUGUAAAGGAAGUUUUGCUGAGCAAGAAAGAUCAGAGGGAAAACAUCUAAUUUAUGUAACAGAAAAACAUGUUUGUCUUGAUUUUAGAAGCCCUCAUUUGUAUAUUAUUAAUUUAAUGUUGAUUUAAAUGAUCCUUCUCUGUUCCCUAAAUAAAUCUGCCAGUGUCUUCAGGGGGCAAGAUUC